UACGGAGGAUCCAAGCGUUAUCCGGAAUUACUGGGCGUAAAGAGUUGCGUAGGUGGCAUUGUAAGUCUGUAGUGAAAGCGUGGGGCUCAACCCCAUACACAUUAUGGAAACUGCAAAGCUAGAGGAUGAGAGAGGUUAUUGGAAUUCCCUGUGUAGGAGUGAAAUCCGCAGAUAUAGGGAGGAACACCGAUGGCGUAGGCAGAUAACUGGCUCAUUCCUGACACUAAGGCACGAAAGCGUGGGGAGCAAACGGG
RNAcentral lists this ribosomal RNA (254 nucleotides) under uncultured bacterium. RNAcentral's name for it is "partial 16S ribosomal RNA". It matches the Rfam family "Bacterial small subunit ribosomal RNA", at positions 524 to 776 of the family's 1533-position model. The record is from RNAcentral.